This 254-nucleotide ribosomal RNA is filed under the name uncultured bacterium. RNAcentral describes it as "partial 16S ribosomal RNA". It matches the Rfam family "Bacterial small subunit ribosomal RNA", at positions 524 to 776 of the family's 1533-position model. The record is from RNAcentral.
UACGAAGGGGGGCUAGCGUUGUUCGGAAUCACUGGGCGUAAAGGGCGCGUAGGCGGCUUGAUAAGUCGGGGGUGAAAGCCUGUGGCUCAACCACAGAAUUGCCUUCGAUACUGUCGAGCUUGAGACCGGAAGAGGUAAGUGGAACUGCGAGUGUAGAGGUGAAAUUCGUAGAUAUUCGCAAGAACACCAGUGGCGAAGGCGGCUUACUGGUCCGGUUCUGACGCUGAGGCGCGAAAGCGUGGGGAGCGAACAGG